GUAAAAAUCAGUAAUUAAUACAAAUCACAAGCUCAGCUGGAUUUUGAAUGAUAAACCGGUUUAGUGCAAAAGUGUGCAAGUGUAUUAGUGGGCAUAGAUAGUAGACAGCAAGCAAUUGCCCAGAAAAAAUCCCAAACUCUCCAAUUUUGUUGUGAGCGAAGAAUGGUGUGCUGUGCUAUACGGAAUAGAGAAUCCUAUGUGCUGCUCGCAAAUGCGCGAAUUAGUGGGCGUAGAGUUGCCAGACUGUAAAUUGAAUCGAAAUGUCAAUAUUAAGAGGAGGAAUAAGCAUCCUCAUAACAUCAUUACUUCUCUGAAAGUUGCAAUUAAUACCGUUUCUGCAAUCGUUUCUGGUCCCGGAUCGAGGAGGUUAUUGCAGCUAAUGGAAACUUUAUUGAAUGAUUUUUACAGAUAAGGUACUGUUGUGUAAAAAUUGAAGUUUCAUUAAAUUUUGUUCCAAAUUAAAGCUAAUUAGUUUUACUCUCAAGUUGUACUCAAAUACCAAAAUAUCUAUAAGGUUUAGUAGUGAUUUU
Molecule: long non-coding RNA, 530 nt
Organism: Anastrepha ludens (Mexican fruit fly)
Lineage: Eukaryota; Metazoa; Arthropoda; Insecta; Diptera; Tephritidae
Exons: 3
Source: RefSeq, a predicted model, not a curated record